RNAcentral lists this ribosomal RNA (230 nucleotides) under uncultured bacterium. RNAcentral's name for it is "partial 16S ribosomal RNA". It matches the Rfam family "Bacterial small subunit ribosomal RNA", at positions 524 to 753 of the family's 1533-position model. The record is from RNAcentral.
UACAGAGGUCUCAAGCGUUGUUCGGAUUCAUUGGGCGUAAAGGGUGCGUAGGUGGCGCGUUAAGUCGGGUGUGAAAUCUCGGAGCUUAACUCCGAAACUGCAUUCGAUACUGCCGUGCUUGAGGACUGGAGAGGAGACUGGAAUUUACGGUGUAGCGGUGAAAUGCGUAGAUAUCGUAAGGAAGACCAGUGGCGAAGGCGGGUCUCUGGACAGUUCCUGACGCUGAGGCA